AGGAGUGUAGCUCAGCUGGAAGAGCAGCGGUCUCCAAAACCGCAGGUCGGGGGUUCGAGUCCCUCCACUCCUGCCA
This 76-nucleotide transfer RNA is filed under the name Chloroflexota bacterium. RNAcentral describes it as "Chloroflexi bacterium tRNA-Trp". It matches the Rfam family "tRNA". From Rfam's summary of the family: Transfer RNA (tRNA) molecules are approximately 80 nucleotides in length. Their secondary structure includes four short double-helical elements and three loops (D, anti-codon, and T loops). Lineage: Bacteria; Bacillati; Chloroflexota. The record is from RNAcentral. RNAcentral also lists the same sequence under 1 other name.